Molecule: ribosomal RNA, 371 nt
Filed under: uncultured organism
Description: partial 16S ribosomal RNA
Rfam family: Bacterial small subunit ribosomal RNA
Source: RNAcentral
GAGUGGAGCAAGCGUUAUCCGGAUUCAUUGGGCGUAAAGCGUCCGCAGAUGUCCUGAUAAGUUUUCGGUCAAAUCUCCCGGCUUAACCGGGAAACGAUCGGAAAAACUAUCUGGAUAGAGGAAGGAAGAGGAAAGUAGAAUUCAUGGUGUAGCAGUGACAUGCGUUGAUAUCAUGGAGGAUACCCAAAGCGAAGGCAUCUUUCUGGUCCUUUCCUGACAUUCAUGGACGAAAGCACGGGUAGCGAAUGGGUUUAGAUAUCCCAGUAGUCCGUGCCGUAAACGCUGGAUACUAGGCAUAGAGGGUUCGACCCCCCGCUGUGUCGUAAGCUAACGCGUUAAGUAUCCCGCCUGGGAAGUACGCCGCAAGGCUA